Non-coding RNA from Xyrichtys novacula (pearly razorfish), 1081 nucleotides. The record is from the annotation of a GenBank genome assembly. NCBI's taxonomy places the organism in Eukaryota, Metazoa, Chordata, Actinopteri, Labriformes, Labridae.
GUUAGGGUUAGGGUUAGGGGUUAGGGUUAGGGUUAAGGUUAGGAGGCUCCCACUUCUCCUAUGUGUCCUGAAGAGCAAACAUCUCACAGACAUACUCAGACAAGUCCGGACAUGUUUCUUUUUGUGCCCAUAGCCUGAAGAAGACCCACAGCGGUCGAAACGUUGCAACUGGGCACUCUUUAUCACACCUUUUCUUUAUUUCUUCCUCCUCAUAGGCAUUUUAUUUGGUUUUCUUUCUUUUAUUUCAUUUUGAUUUCAGAAAACAACAAAAAAAGCAUAAAAAAAUUAAAGAACAAUUCAUUUUUUAUAUACAGUUUUUGUUUUAAAUAUUUUUUCAUUUCAUUAGAUUAAUAAAUAGAUAGAUAAAUACACAAAUAAAUAAAUACAUAGUUUAAUAAAUACAGUACAUUAAUAAAUAGUAAUAAAUAAUUAAAAAGAUUAAAAACAAUCAUGAAUUAUGAGCAACAAGACUGGACUGAAGUGCGGUACGGGAAAAGGCGUGGUCGACGCCCGUACCGCACUAAUAAUCAGCAAUACCAAACGGGGUCGUGGGGGACGGGGAACAGGGGGAUGGACCGUGCACCUCCUGUCUCCUAUCCUGGUUGAAGUCCGUAACCUUUAUGAGACAGAUAUCAUUGUGUGAGGACAGCAGGAUGUUCUCUGGCUUCAGGUCUCGGUGGAUUAUUCCAUUGGUGUGGAGGUACUGGACGGCUCUCAGCAUCUGGUAAAAGUAAAGUUUGGCGAUUGACUCCUUCAGCUGCCCCUGGGACUUCACUUUUUGGAAAAGUUCUCCUCCUUCCAUGAGCUCCAAGACAAUGUAGUAGCUGUCCUCUGUCUGAUAGAAGUCUUCUGUCUUUGUGAGGCAAGGAUGGUUCACUCGCUGCAGAAUUUCAAUCUCUGUCUCCGCAUUUCGCGUUGCUGUCCCUUCAGACUGAAAAUUCUUCUUGUUUAUUAUUUUCACUGCAAAUUUUUUGCAGGUGGAUCUCUCGAAGGCUAGUUUUACUUCACCACACACCCCUGUGCCAACCUGCCGAGUCAGUACGUAUUUUCUUUGCAACUCCUGCGGGAGAGCUGACUGACU